CGGUUGAUCCUGCCGGAGGUCACUGCUAUUGGGAUUCGAUUAAGCCAUGCGAGUCGAGAGGGUUCGGCCCUCGGCAGACGGCUCAGUAACACGUGGAUAACCUGCCCUAUGGUGGAGGAUAACCUCGGGAAACUGAGAAUAAUACUCCAUAGGUCUAAGAUGCUGGAAUGCACUUAGGCUGAAAACUCCGGUGCCAUAGGAUGAGUCUGCGGACUAUCAGGUUAUAGUCAGGGUAACGACCUGACUAGCCUACGACGGAUACGGGUUGUGAGAGCAAUAACCCGGAGAUGAUAUCUGAGACACGAUAUCAGGCCCUGCGGGGCGCAGCAGGCGCGAAAACUUCACAAUGUGCGAAAGCACGAUGAGGGAAUCCCAAGUGCUUGCACGUAAGUGUAAGCUGUUUCUCUGUCUAAAAAGCAGAGAGAGUAAGGGCUGGGUAAGACGGGUGCCAGCCGCCGCGGUAAUACCUGCAGCUCGAGUGGUGACCGUUAUUAUUGGGCCUAAAACGUCCGUAGCCGGUUUAAUAAAUGCCUGGGUAAAUCGGACCGCUUAACGGUUCGAAUUCCGGGUAGACUGUUAAACUUGAGACCGGGAGAAGUUAGAGGUACUCCUGGGGUAGAGGUGAAAU
This 628-nucleotide ribosomal RNA is filed under the name uncultured archaeon. RNAcentral describes it as "bacterial SSU rRNA". It matches the Rfam family "Archaeal small subunit ribosomal RNA", at positions 5 to 638 of the family's 1478-position model. The record is from RNAcentral.